GGGUCAGUAGGUUGGUCGUGCCACCGGUACGUACUGGUCUCACUGAUUCCUCCUUCCUGAAGAACCGUAAUGCCAUUAAUUUGGUGUUGCGGGGAAACAAGACUGUUACUUUGAAAAAAUUAGAGUGUUUAAAGCAAGCUAACGCUUGAAUACAUUAGCAUGGAAUAAUGAAAUAGGACGAUCGAUCCCAUUUUGUUGGUUUCUAGGAUUGACGUA
RNAcentral lists this ribosomal RNA (216 nucleotides) under Glomeromycotina sp. Its description in RNAcentral is "partial small subunit ribosomal RNA". The stretch from base 40 to 216 matches the Rfam family "Eukaryotic small subunit ribosomal RNA", at positions 686 to 864 of the family's 1831-position model. The record is from RNAcentral. Lineage: Eukaryota; Fungi; Glomeromycota.